RNAcentral lists this ribosomal RNA (480 nucleotides) under Ascomycota sp. ODL4. Its description in RNAcentral is "eukaryotic LSU rRNA". The stretch from base 106 to 259 matches the Rfam family "5.8S ribosomal RNA". Lineage: Eukaryota; Fungi; Ascomycota. The record is from RNAcentral.
UGUCUUUUGAGUACCUUCGUUUCCUCGGCGGGUUCGCCCGCCGGUUGGACAACACUUAAACCCUUUGUAAUUGAAAUCAGCGUCUGAAAAAACUUUAAUAGUUACAACUUUCAACAACGGAUCUCUUGGUUCUGGCAUCGAUGAAGAACGCAGCGAAAUGCGAUAAGUAGUGUGAAUUGCAGAAUUCAGUGAAUCAUCGAAUCUUUGAACGCACAUUGCGCCCCUUGGUAUUCCAUGGGGCAUGCCUGUUCGAGCGUCAUUUGUACCUUCAAGCUCUGCUUGGUGUUGGGUGUUUGUCUCGCCUCUGCGCGCAGACUCGCCUCAAAGCAAUUGGCAGCCGGCGUAUUGAUUUCGGAGCGCAGUACAUCUCGCGCUUUGCACUCAUAACGACGACGUCCAAAAAGUACAUUUUUUACACUCUUGACCUCGGAUCAGGUAGGGAUACCCGCUGAACUUAAGCAUAUCAAUAAGCCGGAGGAA